This 1901-nucleotide long non-coding RNA is filed under the name Triticum aestivum (bread wheat). RNAcentral's name for it is "long non-coding RNA (TAES_LNC007075)". The record is from RNAcentral. Lineage: Eukaryota; Viridiplantae; Streptophyta; Magnoliopsida; Poales; Poaceae.
AAGAGCUAUUUGAAAAUAAUUGACAAUUUGGCAAUAAUAAGGAUCUUUCCAAUAAUGAAAAUUGGAAAAAACAUAGCCUCAAACUAUGUAAUAGGGUUUUCAAAAUGCAGGCAUUCUCUCCAUACAAGAUUGACAAGUACCACAUCACGAACAAACGUUUACAACAGAUAUAGAAGUGACAAUAAACAAGUUUUUCAAGAUUUACAAUGAACAGCGUGAUUUGGCUUCUUGCUCUAAAAUAGAAACAUCUGCAGCACUAACUUGGGGACAAUCCCACCAAUUCAAUGACAAUGGACAUAUUUUCUACCCUUCACUCCUUUGCGGCUACCAAUCCUUCAGUAAUCUGAACACAACAUCAGUAAUGCCAAGGCAAAUACCAUGAUACUUUGUUCAUGAUCAUCUCCUUAUCGAAGAAGUAAAUGUAAAACUGGCCUGCAAGAUAAAAGCAUUUCCCGAAUGUACAACCUGGAAUCGUCGGUGCUCUUAAUAUUCAGUUAUUGGUAAUACUGCAGGAUGAAAUAUAGUGCAAACUCUUAUAAAUUUUAAUACAUUCAACAACUAAGAUUUUGAGCCAUGAGAUUAUAUGCCAAUAGUUACAUUUAAGCUUAUUAGAGCAUAUAUCAAUCAUAAAAAGGUAGAAAGAAUAAGCUUCGGGACACAAUAAGGGCUUAAACUACUUAUUUGAAAACAGUGAAACAACUCAUUAAAUCUAACUAAUUUUAAAUGAUCCAGUUUUAAGGAUUAAUACAGUACAACUAAGAGAAGGCUAUAUCAUCAAUCAAGAAGAUUCCACCGUAUAAACUUGACAAUUAGAGACAACUGUCACUGCUCCGUCACAUACCAUGGUCGACAUGAGCAAUGACAGGCAUGUUAUGGAUAUUUUUUAUCCAUAAUUCCGCGGAGCUCCUCCGUUCUAAACUUCACCAUCUUGACUGCUUUUGAAUGUCAGACGGGAAUACCAUUCCUUCUCUAAUAAUAGCAAGCUAUCAGAACCAAGCAAUAAUAUAGUGUGAAUAACUGAACAUGGAAAGCGACAGUAAUAUAUUAACGAUCCUUUAAAGUAAUUAAGACCACAAUUGUCUACUCAAAGAAAAGUAUAGGAUUGAAAGCCAUAUCCCGAAGGGGUGUAUACUAAAGCAAAAUUUACCAAUCAACGGAUAGUGACUAAUAUUAUAUCAUUAGGUGAUACCUUAAGUUCCCCUCUGAAAAUGUUCUCAAUCUCAACAUUGUAUUACACAAUGAACGCCCAGAUAGAUUUGAUGAAGCUUCGAUUCUGUACUGGGAUAGAGAUGGAAUAUAUUUAUCUUGCUCAAAUAUAAAUCCAGAAAGUUAGAAAAAUUAAUAGAAGGACUGCACAAAAAUACGAAAGAACCAAUACAGCUGAUAGGUGCCUUUUCUCCAUAUAUGAUAUACCUGAGCAUGUAACCUAUUUUUCUACAAGAUCUCUUUGCCUUUCUAAUGAUAAUUUCAAGAUUCAAAUAUCAGAUAUCGUGCUCACAGAUUUGGUGUAGACUGUAGAAAGUGUGAUAUGACCAGAAUAUCAGCUGGCAUGCUCAAUAUUGGGGCUGAUAUGACCAGAAUAUCAGUCGGUAUGCUCAAUACUGGGGCUGAUAUGACCAAAAUAUAGACCAUACUUGAUAUAAGCAGACAGCCAACACUUUAUGCGCAUCCACAUAUACUUGCAAAAAAGAAAGUUAAUUGCUCCUUUACUAUUUGUAUGCAUCCAUAGUUCCACACAUACACUCAUUAGAAAAACAGAGAACACUAAUUACUCCUCUAGCUUCUCUAGAACAUAAGAAACAACAGCUAAAAUUUGAUCCAGUGGAACCUAGGGCCAGUUCUUUUGGGCAAUUCUCCCAGAAUUGACCCCCUCCCCAGCUUCUCCCAGAAUUGCCACUUAA